Molecule: ribosomal RNA, 408 nt
Filed under: uncultured bacterium
Lineage: Bacteria
Description: partial 16S ribosomal RNA
Rfam family: Bacterial small subunit ribosomal RNA
Source: RNAcentral
GACGAACGCUGGCGGCGUGCUUAACACAUGCAAGUCGAACGAAGUGGCGAACGGGUGAGUAAUACGUGGGUAACCUUCCCUCCUUUUUGGGAUAAGCCUUGGAAACGGGGUCUAAUACCGAAUAAAGGGGGAUGGGCUCGCGGCAUAUCAGGUUGUUGGUGGGGUGAUGGCCUACCAAGGCGGUGACGGGUAGCCGGCUUGGGAGGGUGACCGGCCACAUUGGGACUGAGAUAAGGCCCAGGCGACUAGGGGGGGGAGAAGAGGGGGAUAUGGGACAAGGGGCGAAAGACUGAUGCAGCGACGCCGAGGGGGGGAUGAAGGCUGUAGGGUUGUUAACCUCUUUCGCUAUCGAAGGGGUAGGUGGAGAAGAAGCGCCGGCUAACUACGUGCCAGCAGCCGCGGUAAUAC